RNAcentral lists this ribosomal RNA (427 nucleotides) under uncultured eukaryote. Its description in RNAcentral is "SSU rRNA". It matches the Rfam family "Eukaryotic small subunit ribosomal RNA", at positions 1379 to 1808 of the family's 1831-position model. The record is from RNAcentral.
UCAUAUGAAUGCUUAGCAUUGAUGUUGGCUUCUUAGAGGGACUUUCGGUGACUAACCGAAGGAAGUUGGGGGCAAUAACAGGUCUGUGAUGCCCUUAGAUGUCCUGGGCCGCACGCGCGCUACACUGACACACGCAGCGAGUCUUCCUUGUCCGAAAGGUCCGGGUAAUCUUGUAAAUGUGUGUCGUGAUAGGGAUAGAUUAUUGCAAUUAUUAAUCUUGAACGAGGAAUUCCUAGUAUAUGCGGAUCAUCAGUUCGCGUAGAUUACGUCCCUGCCCUUUGUACACACCGCCCGUCGCACCUACCGAUUGAAUGGUUCGGUGAAACUUUCGGACCGUCGCUUGGACGCCUUCUGGCGACUAAGCAAUGGGAAGUUAUUUAAACCUCAUCAUUUAGAGGAAGGUGAAGUCGUAACAAGGUUUCCGUAG